Molecule: ribosomal RNA, 697 nt
Filed under: Monostephanostomum mesospinosum
Lineage: Eukaryota; Metazoa; Platyhelminthes; Trematoda; Opisthorchiida; Acanthocolpidae
Description: SSU rRNA
Rfam family: Eukaryotic small subunit ribosomal RNA
Source: RNAcentral
UGGCUUCGGUCGGCUCCGUGUUAAUCUGUGAUGACUCUGGAUAACUUCACUGAUCGCAGUCGGCCUUGUGUCGGCGACGGAUCUUUCAAUUAUCUGCCCUAUCAGCUGUCGAUGGUAGGUCACCUGCCUACCAUGGCGAUAACGGGUAACGGGGAAUCAGGGUUCGAUUCCGGAGAGGGAGCCUGAGAAACGGCUGCCACAUCUAAGGUAGGCAGCAGGCGCGUAAAUUACCCUAAUCCCAGCACGGGGAGGUAGUGACGAAAAAUACGGAUACGGGACUCUUUAGAGGCUCCGUAAUUCGAAUGAGUACACUUUAAAUCCUUUAACGAGGAUCAACUGGAGGGGAAGUCUGGUGCCAGCAGCCGCGGUAACUCCAGCUCCAGAAGCGUAUAUUAAACUUGUUGCAGUUAAAAUGCUCGUAGUUGGAUCUGGGUGGCAUGGCCACAUGCCGUUGCUUGUAUUCUUGGCUCGGUUAUGACUGGGUCGGGUUUGCGAGUCGGUGUCGUGAUUGAGCAGCCUUUCUGCUGUGUCUGAUUCGACAGGUGCUGACUGAAUCGGUGGGCUUGUCUUGCUGCUUUGUUGGCAUGCUUCCAGAUGCCUAUAACCGGGUGUCGGGGGCGGACGGCACGUUUACUUUGAACAAAUUUGAGUGCUUCAAGCAGGCCUGUGUGCCUGAAUAUUCUUGCAUGGAAUAAUG